CUGAAGUGGGCUCUGCACUGACAGCAGAGAGCCCAAUGUGAGGCUUGAACUCACAAAGUGAGAUCAUGACCUGGGCCAAAGUUGGACGCUCAACUGACUGAGCCACCCAGGCACCCCAAAGACGUCACACUCUUAACCAGGUCACUGAGGAUCCCAUGGUAACAGCCCCUCCCCACCAACUCCCUUGUCAGCCUGCAGGCUCCCGCAGCAUGCUCACCUGUCUGAGCAUCAGGGCCACCUGGCUUGAUAAGGAGUCAAGGAGUCAAUGAUUUCCCUGGCCUCUGUGGUGCAGGUGAUGGGAAGUGUUACAAAGUCCAACAUGGCCUUUUACUGGAAAGAGAGACAAGGGGGUCAAAACACUUUCCAGAGGCCCUGCUUCUUUUAGGCCUCGGGCACAGGCUGCACCUUGGAAGGCAGGCAGGCUGACUCAGGAAGACAUGUUCUCUAGGAUACUACUGGGUUACUCAAUAUGGCUGCUGAGUCCCUACACCUGCCCUGAAAAUACUUCACCCACAGCCAUGGCGGCUAACUGUUCUCUUCAAGUGUCCACAACCUGUAUGGCUGCCUGCUGCCUCGUGGUCAGCCCGACUGCUCCUCACAUCCUGAUUGGGGACCUGUUAUGCUGACUGGCCCAUGGAGACAGGCACUUUGUUUCUGAUAUAACAUGAGACUGAAGAUGGUUUUCUAUUUUAUGGAUUCGGUAAUAAGCUUUCUUGGGCACAGGGAAAGGGUGGUGAUACCACACUAAGGGAGGGAGGCAGGGCCCCAGAAUGUGCCACACACACAAACACCCUCUGCUUGUGUCCAGGCAGAAGGCAAGCAUGGCUCCUGGUCUCUUGGAUGGUUCUGGGACUCCUUGUGCUGGGUGGAGCUGGCAGAAGGAUUAAGCCACCUUUGGAUACCCAAUCCUACUGUGGAGUAACCACAGCAUGUGGCUCAACAAAACUAGCUAGGACAAAGCUACCCAUGGGGAGGCUGCCCAUCUACCAGACCCUCCCAGCCUGAAGCAUUCUCUGUACAAGUGGAAAGGAAACCAACCAUGUCCUCAUUCCAACUCUCUCCUUAAAGCAGCCUCACAAAAUUCCCAGGACUUGUCAUGGAUCCUUGACGAGAUACUAGGGAUCAUCCUAGCCUUGCAAAAAAGGAUGGACCUGCCUUGUCCACUGGUAUCCCAGUCUGAAAAUGCAAACUACCCAUCACUCCUUGUGUUCGAGAAACAGCAACAAGCCUGAACUGCCAUUUGUGGAUAUGACCAAAUAUUUAAGAACCAAGACCCUCAGGAAUAUGGGGAGGGGGAGUAGCAGUGGGGGUUCCGUUCAGUGCCAAGAGUGCAUGGGUGGCCCACCAAAUCUCAACACUUUCCUUUCCCUUUCUGUCCCAAUGUAGCCUCUCACUUGGGCUAAGACACCACUUUUAAUUAUUAUUAUUUUUUUUUAUUAAAAUACUGUUAUACCCAGUGGAAUGCAGCAGCAAUCCUGGUACAGGGUGGCAUAACAAAACAGCCAUGUUUACAUUUUAAAUAUUUACGAUAACUUAAACAUACAGACACACAUCAUGGUCUUUGGCAGAAAAUGUUCACAGCACAAAAAAUACUUUAAAAGAAAUACCAAAUAUUAAUCCAAAAUAUAUUAAGUUGUUUUUUUUUCUUUCACAAUAUUUUUUUGCCUUUUUUUCUCUUUUUUUCUUUUUGCUUUGUAAACAAUGCACAUGAACCAAAUGUAUUUUUCAGCUUUAAAGAAGGGUAGGGGGAUGUAAAAAAAUAUGCAAUUGUCCAGCAAAUGCAAAUGUUUAAAAAGGAAACUUGAGGAAUCAUGGG
Long non-coding RNA from Felis catus (domestic cat), 1816 nucleotides. RefSeq lists it as uncharacterized. Lineage: Eukaryota; Metazoa; Chordata; Mammalia; Carnivora; Felidae. The record is from RefSeq and is a predicted model, not a curated record. The transcript is spliced from 3 exons.